RNAcentral lists this ribosomal RNA (270 nucleotides) under uncultured archaeon. RNAcentral's name for it is "partial 16S ribosomal RNA". It matches the Rfam family "Archaeal small subunit ribosomal RNA", at positions 477 to 747 of the family's 1478-position model. The record is from RNAcentral.
CUGCAGCCCGAGUGGUGAUCGAUUUUAUUGAGCCUAAAGCGUCCGUAGCCGGACUAGUAAACCCUUGGGUAAAUUGGGCAGUUUAACUGUCCAAAUUCCGAGGGGACUGCUAGUCUUGGGACCGGGAGAGGUCAGAGGUACUCAGGGGGUAGGGGCUAAAUCCUGUAAUCCUUUGGGGACCACCAGUGGCGAAGGCGUCUGACUAGAACGGAUCCGACGGUAAGGGACGAAACCCUGGGGCGCGAACCGGAUUAGAUACCCGCGUAGUCC